This 634-nucleotide ribosomal RNA is filed under the name Nautella sp. M01. RNAcentral describes it as "bacterial SSU rRNA". It matches the Rfam family "Bacterial small subunit ribosomal RNA", at positions 96 to 765 of the family's 1533-position model. The record is from RNAcentral. Lineage: Bacteria; Pseudomonadati; Pseudomonadota; Alphaproteobacteria; Rhodobacterales; Roseobacteraceae.
CGGCGGACGGGUUAGUAACGCGUGGGAACGUGCCCAGAUCUAAGGAAUAGCCACUGGAAACGGUGAGUAAUACCUUAUACGCCCUUCGGGGGAAAGAUUUAUCGGAUUUGGAUCGGCCCGCGUUAGAUUAGGUAGUUGGUGGGGUAAUGGCCUACCAAGCCUACGAUCUAUAGCUGGUUUUAGAGGAUGAUCAGCAACACUGGGACUGAGACACGGCCCAGACUCCUACGGGAGGCAGCAGUGGGGAAUCUUGGACAAUGGGGGCAACCCUGAUCCAGCCAUGCCGCGUGAGUGAUGAAGGCCUUAGGGUCGUAAAGCUCUUUCGCCUGUGAUGAUAAUGACAGUAGCAGGUAAAGAAACCCCGGCUAACUCCGUGCCAGCAGCCGCGGUAAUACGGAGGGGGUUAGCGUUGUUCGGAAUUACUGGGCGUAAAGCGCGCGUAGGCGGAUUAGUCAGUUAGAGGUGAAAUCCCAGGGCUCAACCCUGGAACUGCCUUUAAUACUGCUAGUCUUGAGUUCGAGAGAGGUGAGUGGAAUUCCGAGUGUAGAGGUGAAAUUCGUAGAUAUUCGGAGGAACACCAGUGGCGAAGGCGGCUCACUGGCUCGAUACUGACGCUGAGGUGCGAAAGUGUGGG